RNAcentral lists this ribosomal RNA (253 nucleotides) under uncultured bacterium. Its description in RNAcentral is "partial 16S ribosomal RNA". It matches the Rfam family "Bacterial small subunit ribosomal RNA", at positions 524 to 776 of the family's 1533-position model. The record is from RNAcentral.
UACGGAGGGUGCAAGCGUUAAUCGGAAUUACUGGGCGUAAAGCGCGCGUAGGCGGCUGAGUAAGUCGAUUGUGAAAUCCCCGGGCUCAACCUGGGAAUUGCAUUCGAGACUGCAUGGCUUGGGUGCGGAAGAGGGAAGCGGAAUUUCCGGUGUAGCGGUGAAAUGCGUAGAUAUCGGAAGGAACACCAGUGGCGAAAGCGGCUUCCUGGUCCGACACCGACGUUCAGGCACGAAAGCGUGGGGAGCAAACAGG